CUUUAAUCUAGCACUAUUCAUGUAGGUUUGGGAAUUAUUUGUCCCAGGGCUGCAAAUGCAUAUACAACAUGAUAUACACACCACAAUAAGUACAGCAUUAAACACAAUAGGGAAAGCAUUAAACUUUCAUUGAAAAUAUAAAAUUACCAAACAGUUGAAGAAACCCGUGGUAAAGACGAUGGGUUUUUACACGGCAUCUCAGCUCUGCAUGUAACCUAAUUCUGCCUCUAGAAAAAAUGUAGUAAAGCUAGUUUUAUGAAUGAGUCGAUUUGCACACAUUGGAAAGAAAAGAAGAAAAAGCUUAAAGUUCUCAACCCAAUUAUCCAAACUUUAAAAGGUUAUCUACAAAUAGGUUGAUAAGCACAGACAUCUCUUUGAGCCCAUUAUACAGAAAUACAUAUUUUAAACUUCCUAUCAUAAAUUUGGCCAUGUGUUAAGUACUACAAACUUUAUUCUUAAAUGACCUUUAAGAAAUCAUGACCUGCCCAUUGCCCCUGAAGGAGCUCGGUCCGGUGCCCCCGCUGCUGCAGUGAGACUGCGUUGAGCGCCAGCUCCCGGCAGCUGGGGAAGCCCUCCGCCGCCAAUCCAGGCUUCCCCGCGCCUUGCGUCACGCCCCCAGGAUGACGUCGAAGGCCACCCUGGCCGGCCACGUGGGCCGCUGCCCCCGAGACCCGCGUGGCAGCAGCGGUGCCCAGCGUGGGGAGCGGAGGGAGCGCGCAGGCUCCUCGGGGCGGUCCUCGAGCCUGACUGGAGCCCGGGUCCUGGCCCAAACUCAGCCGGCCCUGAGGGGUUGAGGGACCGGGACCGCGGAGCGCGACCGCCCCGGGCGCCUCCUCCCCGGCCGGCACCGCGAGGCGCUCUCCGCGCCAGUUCUGCCCCGGGCCCCGCCGCGCUCUCCCGACCCGCCCUCCGCUUCCCAGGACCUUGCUGAGCCCGGCGCACUGCGCGGGAGGGCGCGACAGUGCUGCCCCAGCUGUGCCCGGGACAUCGCCUGCGCCCCGAGCCCCGGUCGCCGGGGUGGUGCGCCCGCGCUCGGUGCCACGUCGGAACUGCCCGGAGCGCGCGGUGAUGGCGCGGGACCCUCCUCCCGGGUCCCGGCGAGCGGAGGAGGGCGGAGCGGGCCCGGGCCGCUGAGCCCCUGGGUCCCCGCCGCGAGGCGCCGGGCUGCUCAGCAUCCUCCCCUCCGCGGGAGCCGGGCAGGGGCACACGCGUCGCCCUCCAGUGGGGGCUCCUGGCCGGCGAGCAGCCCCGAGGACGCUGCGCGGGAGGCCCGUCCGGGAGCGCACACGAGGGCACCCAGCGCUACGGCGGUCGGAGGGGCCGCCCGGCCUCCGGUCUAUGGGAAAGCUCCACUGCGGUGCACCCGGCUUGGUGCGGAGCCUGCGCCGACAGCGUGUGAGGCGCUCGGGCUUCCGCGCGUAACCCCCGGGCGCGGCGGAGCCUACCUUGCUCAGCUGUGCAUGCAGCCGUCCUCAGCUGCCUGCGCGGCCCGGCGGGGCGGGAGCAGUGUCCAGGGCCGAGGUGAUGGAGCUCAGAUGGACUUGAGACGGUCGGCCAGAAAGCAGAGGAAAUUUACAAACAACAUUUAAAAAGUGGGGUGGAGAUUGCUUGGCUCCGACGAUUGCCAACCUGUGAGACCCCAGAGGCUUCGAAGCUUCGAGCUUCCAGCCUGGAGCAGCGUUGUGCAGUGCUGUGUCUUAGUACCCUGCGAGAGUCCCGAUGCUCAUGGCUCAAGCAACGAGGACACUCAAUUACAGGGAAACUGUCACAUGCAAAAAAGAGUUCUAGCAGCAAGAACAGGAAUAUGAGCAGCGGUCCUGUCACGCGAAGUAUGACUACAGGAAAGAGUAGGACUGUGAACAGCACGGACUUCCCAACUCCUCUUCGCCUUGCAUGUUCAGGUAGUUUAAAAGUCUUGAUUGUGGUCGUGAUUAAGUAUCCAUGACCUUGGAAACAAUCAUUCCAAACUUUGAUUCUAUGAAUUGGACUAUUUAAAAAUGCAUCAUUUAAGUGUAAUCAUGCAGUUGACCUACUCAUGUGGGCGUAAGGCUUCUUACAUUUUUAAAGAGUUGUUCUGUGACUAACAUGCAAUAUGUCCUUGGGAAAAACCCACAUGAACCUGAGAAGAAUGUGCAUUCUGCUGCUGCUGGAAUAAUGUUCUGUAUGCAUGCAUCAUUACCAUUUGGUCUGGAGUGUAUUAUGCAGCACUCUGAGAAGGUAAAAAAGGUGCAUCCCCAUCUUCAUCAGGGGAGCAAAAUUGCCAUGUUUUCCACUUCGCCACAUUGACAUCUGAGGGAGGCUCUGCUAUUCCUGGGUGCAGGUCGAACUCUGGCUCGUCCUUUGAUUUCCACUGCUGUGCCCCAGCUGUCACGAGUGUGUUAAUGCAGCCUGUGUGUCCUGCACUGACACAGCAGCUGGAGGCAGUGGGAAAGCCCUGGAUCCCUGCAUGCCUCAUGGACCUCAUCCCAGGGUGGAGUAGGACUAGUGCCUCAUGACUGCAGCUGGACGGAAGCUCUGGUUUCCCUGAGUCUCCUUGAUGUCUCAGAGCUCUGAGGUCUUCUCACAAGCAGACAGACAGUGCUGGUUUCCUCUUCCCUCUCUGACACCACUGAGGGCAGCUGAUGACGGUGACAAUCCAGGCUCCUCGCUGAAGCUUUGCUCUGGGCAGGGUGGCACCACAGCCUGUUCUGCAGUGUUUGGCUGGAGUAGAGCAGAGUCUGUCUCCAAGUUCGCUGUCUUGCUGGGCGGCCCCUUCGGUGAGCUGCUGGCUGAAGAGAAAAGGCUUCCAGGAGGCAUUGCUGUGGUUGUCUGCACUUGUUGGCAUUUCUGGGUGGCCACGUUCUUCACUGCAUAUGCGAGGUUUAUAAAGCAAAAAGAAAAUCCCAGGAGACUCACCACUGUGUCAUUGCUUAAAUCCCAAGGUCUCGAGCCAAUCUGCCUUCUAUUCUUCACAUUUCAAGGCCUUCUUAUCUCUGUCUCCUGUGUAAUUUUCAAGGUUUUUAGUUGUGCUCAGUAGAAGAAAUAAGGAAAAGCAUAUCUGCUUCCCCCCUCCCCUGUGAGAACUAAUGUGAUUACUUGCUUUCGUAAAGUCUACAUAACUUAACAAAACAUACUGUAUGGGGAAGAUAAUAGAUCUGUAAAAUCUAAUUGUGUUUGAAAUAAUUCCUAUCAAAUUAGGUCAGAAAGACAAACUAAAAAAUCGAAAGCUUCUGCAAUGGGAUUGCAUUUCAAGUGUCUCUAGAUUCUCACAAAACCCCAGGGAAAUCAUAAUUGGAAAUUAAAGAAGUUGGACUAAUCUUAUGGCAGAAGAGACAGAUGGUACUAAUUAGGGGACAUGAGCCUGUGUCCCUUUCCUUACCAAUGCCAUAACUGUAUAUUAAAAGAUAGAAAAAUUACUGCAUACAUAUGUGUACAGUUGAAACAUAAUAUAUUUAAAGUUAACUUUUAACUCUUGACAGGGAAGAAAUGGAAGGUGCUCAUUUUCAAUGCAGUGCUAGAACUUGACUUCCCACUUUCAGGGAUAUUCCUUUCAAUUAGAUAAGCCAGGAAAGUUAAGACACCUGUAGAAAGUUUUGAAUUUUCAACAAGACUUAGAUAAUGACUGCCUAAACUCUGCAUGUCUGACUGAACUAGAAAAGCCAAUGUGCAGAGCAACUCUAGCUUAGCAUCAAUGUGCUGCACAUCACUUUAAAGUGUGCCUCCAAUGGGAAUGUGGUCAUUGUUUGCACAUGUGCACACUCACUGUCACACACACAUGAAGAUCCUUUGGGAAACACAGCUCACCAAGCCUUGCACCUGCACUUCUGGGUGGCAGUAACCUGACAUUGGAACCACUGUGAUGGGGAUGUCAUUUUCCAUUCUCUCUGGACAGCAGAACAGAUGCUGUCUUGGACUUCAAAGAGAUUUGACUACUCUCUGAGUUUCAAUAAUGAACAACAACUUUUCACAGCCUAGUUUUCAAAAAGUGUAACAAAAUAUACAAAGGGAAAAGAUCAAGGAAGAAUUCAUCGGUCUUUCCUUUCUGAAAUCUUUUGAGGGACAGAAAGGAAGUCAAACUAAAAACAUUUGAUCUUUCCCAGGAACCUGGGCUGGACUGUAUUUAUUGGUUUUCAAAUCAGAUGGUUUACUCUAUGGCCUGAGAUCACGGUAAAGGGCCCAAGUGUAUAAUGAGAAGAUUGGCUUUGGGAGAUCAUUUGUAUAGAUACAUAUAUGUUAAAAGAUAUGUAUAAAAAUAGAAAACCCAGUUGGUGCUAAACAUGUCCCUUUUCUGUGCUUUUCUUUUGCUAGCUUAUCUAAUACUAGCUCUUGAAUUUAGCUUACAUAAUACAAUUGCAAGACAGUAAUAAAAAAAGACUCAAUAGUUUUGAGUAUUCUGAUAUGCAGGUAAGUUCUAGAAAGAAUAUAGACAAGUGUUCUAACCAAAAAAAUUAAGAAUAUUUCCAACACUGUUAGAAAAUUUGUAAUUGACUGAUAUAAUUCAAGAUUUUUAAAAAUCAGGAUAAUGUUUUUUUGUUAAUACCGUACCACAAUUACAAAUAUCUUCAAGAGAAGCAGGUAAAGAUUUGAGUUCUAAGUCUGCCAAACAUCACUCUGGGAGGCUGAUGUAGCAGGAUUGCAAGCUUGUGCCAGCCUGGGCAACUUAGCCACUCAGUGAGAUCCUGACUCAAAAUGUUUAAAAAUGAGAAUGAGUUGGACAUGUAGCUCAGUGAGGCCUUGGGAUCAAUGCCUAGUACUGGAAAAAAAAUCUGUGGAAGCUCAGUGGGAGAAAAUUAAUUCUAUUGGAUUGGCAUAAAAUAUGAAAACCUAUACAAGAAAUUGAACUAUUAUUGUUUCAUUAAUUUUUCAUAAAUUUUCUUUUCUAGUCUUUUAUUUCUUCCUGUGUCAUUUUCUCUCUUUUUGGUGAAAUUGAAACAGUACUCCCUUAAGAUUAUUUGUAGGGAUGCCCCUCAAGUACUUUUAUCUGCGAGGCCCUGCUUCAGGCAAAUCACAAACUAUCACAGUCAGUGGUGAGGCAAAAGUCGAAGGGCCUCACUGGUGUAUGUUUUUUAGCCUUACUCUUCCUAAUCAGUAUGUAUGUCUUACAUACCUUAACAUUUGUUUUAAGUAUACAAUUCACUGAUGUUUAGUGAUUUACCAAGUUGUACAACUAUUACCAGAGUCCAGUUAUAAAACGUUUCCUUCAUCCUAAAGAAAAGAUUCUAGAUGUUUGAAAUCAUAGGAGGGUAUUUCUGCACAAACACUGCAUACUAUCUAAUGAUCUCAUAGUGUGUACCAACAUCCUCAGCAUAGCUGAGAUAUCAGGCAGCUCUGAAACAUCAGUAUUGCCAUGUUGAAUCAGAUAAAUGCUCACCUCACCCUAAACAGAAUAAAGUAAUAAAACAAAGUAAUAAAAUCUGUAAGUAGCUUCUGUUUGAGUCAGAUUUGGCCUAUAAAGGAGCUCAGGUAGAGACAUCCAAUGAACUAGGAAAUGAUUUCAGUGUUUCGUUUUGAAAUUCCAAGUAACGUAUUAACCUGAAAUACUCCUUGUGAGAAUUUAAGAGUAAGUAAGGUGGUUAACAUAGCGCCAAAUACUCGGCCAACCAACUCUCUCGCUCUCCCACCCCCUAUCUCCCUCCGUGUGAUAGAGCUUGCAGAACAGUUUACAGAGUACUGUCUAUGUGGCCAGGGGCCCUCAUCCCCAGAUCUUCUGCCUUAUUAACUGGUGUUAAGAUAUUAGAGCAAAAUGGGAGCUGAUAUUUACUCAUUCUUAUAAAUCAGGCACUGUUCCUAAUAAUUUUCAUGUGCAUUAAUUCGGUCCUUAUAUCUGUCCUGUGAACCAGAUAGGCAUCAUCAUUUCCCGUUGCACAGAUAACAGUGUAUUGUAUCAGAUUGCUUUGGCUCAUAGAGCAGGGGAGGGUGGAAAGGAGCCUCAGAGUCAGGCACUCUGACCUCGCACCCACCUCCCAGUCCCAGGCUCUUACCUGGCAGGAAUGUGGCUUCAACUCUAGGUGGGCACUGGUGCCCUAAUUCUGAAAUACAGAAAGAACAAAACUGUGUAUCUGAAUUUACUUGAUGUUGCAAACUCUUAAUGUUUUAGAACUACAAAAGAUUGUAGUGUUUACAUAAUCCAAAUUAAUAUUUUAAACUAAAGGAAAUAAGAUCUUUAGUUAAGGAAAAAAACCUCAAGACCUCAGGAUAUCAAGCAACUUAAGGUCAGACAAAUAAUGGAAGACUAAAUUCUAGAUCCACUAGUUCCUUGACAAACACUCCUUGUUGAAUCCCGAAACAUCAUCUAAUGAAAUUAUACAUAUGGUCAAAUAAUAAUGGUCAAACAGAGUAAUCCAAAUUUUGUGUUUGGGGAGUAAAUAAUAAUGCAUCACUGCAUAAUUGUUUGAUAUUCUGUAAUAAAAGAGGUAUAGAGAAGACAGAGGUAUGGAGUGGAUCUAUUGUAGAGAGAGGUACAUAGUAGAGUAGAUAUGGAGUAGAUAAUGGAAGAAUUGAGCACAACCCGGUGUAUGGAAACAUCGAGAGCAGAGUAAUUAAUUCCUCUGUGACUAUAUGACACAAAUAGAAAAAAGAAAACACAGAAGAGGCACCUUCUGAACUGGCUCUGGUAGAUGCAUAGAACUGCCUUGAAGACAAAGAGGAAGGCGGGCUGCAUCGAGGACGCUUGUCGGUCUGGUGGCUGGUCCAGCAAGCAGACCCACGGGAAGGUGCCCAGGCCCUGCACUGGCGAUCUUCUGCAGCCAGAAGUUCCUGUGAUCAGCCUAAGACUGCAGACACGUUUUCGCAGUAAGAAUCUCGAGCCUUACAUGCCGACGGUGCUUUGUUUAGCUGCAGUUUCAGAACCCUAAAGCUCUUUAUUGCUUCUGUGGGCACUUAGGAGAUACUUUCAAUUCUUUUGGCUUCUUUGAUUUCUUCUAAUGAAGCGAGAGUAAGACAGGACCCUUGUACCUCUCUUUGAGUCACACUAUCCUGGUAUAGUCUCUGGAUCAGAGUAGAAACUUAAUGUAAAUAUUUUAACAAAAAAUGUUUAUUGGGCACAACAUACAGCAUUUUAUGUGCAUUUUUGUUUUAAUUCUAACAUUAGCCCUAUGAAAAGAUACCAAGAUUAGUCCAGAGAACUGAAAUUUAGAGACUGAGAGCAAGCUGUUUAAUGUGUAGACUUCCAACAAAACACAGACUCAUGUUGUCUACCUGCCUUUAACAUUUUCAAAAUGUGCUGGUCAUUUAUUAUUAUUUUCAUGACGUUACUGGCUCAUAAUUUUCUCAGUGUAAGAUAUAUUUUAUGUGAACUGAUACAGAAUUUCAAGGUGCCAUGUUUGUAUGGGAUGGAAAAUCAGGAAAAGUCAACAUGUUUUUCAAGAAAAUUAAAAAAUAUAAUACAAA
This is a long non-coding RNA of Heterocephalus glaber (naked mole-rat), 7368 nucleotides long. The record is from Ensembl. NCBI's taxonomy places the organism in Eukaryota, Metazoa, Chordata, Mammalia, Rodentia, Bathyergidae.